UACGUAGGGGCUAGCGUUAUCCGGAUUUAUUGGGUUUAAAGGGUGCGUAGGCGGCUUUUUAAGUCAGCGGUGAAAUUUUGCAGCUUAACUGUAACAGUGCCGUUGAUACUGGGGAGCUAGGAUUUGGUUGCUGUGGGUGGAAUGUGUGGUGUAGCGGUGAAAUGCUUAGAGAUCACACAGAAUAUCGAUUGCGAAGGCAGCUCACAAAGCCAAGAUUGACGCUGAGGCACGAAAGUGUGGGGAUCAAACAGGAUUAGAUA
RNAcentral lists this ribosomal RNA (260 nucleotides) under uncultured prokaryote. RNAcentral describes it as "partial 16S ribosomal RNA". It matches the Rfam family "Bacterial small subunit ribosomal RNA", at positions 524 to 784 of the family's 1533-position model. The record is from RNAcentral.